RNAcentral lists this ribosomal RNA (642 nucleotides) under uncultured Hyphomicrobium sp. RNAcentral describes it as "bacterial SSU rRNA". It matches the Rfam family "Bacterial small subunit ribosomal RNA", at positions 85 to 762 of the family's 1533-position model. Lineage: Bacteria; Pseudomonadati; Pseudomonadota; Alphaproteobacteria; Hyphomicrobiales; Hyphomicrobiaceae. The record is from RNAcentral.
AGCAUACAGAGUGGCAGACGGGUGAGUAACACGUGGGAAUCUUCCUAUCGGUACGGAAUAGCUCAGGGAAACUUGGGGUAAUACCGCAUACGCCCUUCGGGGGAAAGAUUUAUCGCCGAUAGAUGAGCCCGCGUCUGAUUAGCUAGUUGGUGAGGUAAUGGCUCACCAAGGCGACGAUCAGUAGCUGGUCUGAGAGGAUGACCAGCCACACUGGGACUGAGACACGGCCCAGACUCCUACGGGAGGCAGCAGUGGGGAAUAUUGGACAAUGGGCGCAAGCCUGAUCCAGCCAUGCCGCGUGAGUGACGAAGGUCUUCGGAUUGUAAAGCUCUUUUGGCGGGGACGAUAAUGACGGUACCCGCAGAAUAAGCCCCGGCUAACUUCGUGCCAGCAGCCGCGGUAAUACGAAGGGGGCUAGCGUUGUUCGGAAUUACUGGGCGUAAAGCGCACGUAGGCGGAUUUGUARGUCAGGGGUGAAAUCCCGGGGCUCAACCUCGGAACUGCCUUUGAUACUGCAAGUCUCGAGUCCGGAAGAGGUGAGUGGAAUUCCUAGUGUAGAGGUGAAAUUCGUAGAUAUUAGGAAGAACACCAGUGGCGAAGGCGGCUCACUGGUCCGGUACUGACGCUGAGGUGCGAAAGCGU